GAUAAAUGCCAAAGACUGGAAGAAAUGAGAAUUGAAAACCAUGUCUUGAAGAUAACAGUAGGGA
Nematostella vectensis (starlet sea anemone) is the source of this 64-nucleotide non-coding RNA. The record is from Rfam. Lineage: Eukaryota; Metazoa; Cnidaria; Anthozoa; Actiniaria; Edwardsiidae.